UCUUCACCAUUUUUGAAACUGACAGUGGUGGGUUUAGUUCAACGAGGCAAAUACAGGUGAGGAGGUAGCGUGAGAAGAAUUCUAAGGAUGCUAGUACGUAAUAACAUGGUUUAUGAGAACAAUUAUAAGUCAAACAGACUUAAGCGUGAUCACACUUGAAAAACGAACAGAGUUGUUCGCUCUACUUUAUUUUUUGAUCUUGACGUCGCUGAGGAUUCACUGUCCUAUGCUGGCGAAAUUUUGUUUUUCCCGUACCUUUUAUUUAUUUCAUUACCUUUUGAUGUGAUCGCUCUUCUGACCAGCGUUGCCAGGUAACCAGAUUUAGCUGGAUUAUCCAGAUUUUUGAACAUGUAUCCAGGUAGACAGCUUUGAUGUCCAAUUAUCCAGAUUUUUCAUGGAUGAUCCAGAUUUUAUCCAGAUUUUAUUUUCUCUGUUCCGCAAAAAGGUCAUCACUUCAAUUUUGGCGCGAAAUUUUGCAAUUUUGUCACCUCAAAUUUUGCGUACCUCAAGACUUUUAUCCGAAAAAUUAACCUUUCACACCACGAAAUGACCGCCAGAUUUUUUCCAGAUUUUUAUUUUGCCUUUUCCAGAUUUAAAAAAAAAUGACCUGGCAACGCUGCUUCUGACAGCUGAUUUGGAUAUCAAAUCUCGACCAACUUCAGAAAAAAUAAAAACGAAAUUCUCUUAAGAAACCUGUGUAACCUUGAAAAGAACGCCUCGAGGCUGCGUUUAAUUCAACCGGCGGACUGAACCGCAAGAAUAUUCAGUCAAAAACACUAAUUAUGAAAUUAUACGUCUUGUAGGAACUGUAUGAAAAGCGGCGCUCGUUUGCAUGUUUUGUGCACAGAUCAAAGUGUAAGUGAAAAACUAUCGACUGCUAGCCACUUUUUUCCAAAGCAAAACAACAUCGGAAGUGACAGAAUUCUUCUUAAUAAACAUGUCGAAAAGAAGAAUAAAAAAAUGUUGCGUGUUCAAUUGUAACUCAACAAGUGAUAAUUCUGACAUUAAAUUUAUUUCGGUUCCGUCGGAUACUUCAAAACGAGAAAUAUCAGAAAUAUGGAUUAAACUUAUGCAACCCACUAAAAUAAUCAAGCAAAUGUUUGCUGCCAAAAGCAUUUUAUUGUAAGCGAAGUACAUAUAUCUUUUCGUUCAAAGAGUUUUA
Molecule: long non-coding RNA, 1162 nt
Organism: Wyeomyia smithii (pitcher-plant mosquito)
Lineage: Eukaryota; Metazoa; Arthropoda; Insecta; Diptera; Culicidae
Exons: 2
Source: RefSeq, a predicted model, not a curated record